RNAcentral lists this ribosomal RNA (434 nucleotides) under uncultured bacterium. RNAcentral describes it as "bacterial SSU rRNA". It matches the Rfam family "Bacterial small subunit ribosomal RNA", at positions 343 to 794 of the family's 1533-position model. The record is from RNAcentral.
GGGAGGCAGCAGUGGGGAAUAUUGGACAAUGGGCGCAAGCCUGAUCCAGCCAUGCCGCGUGAGUGAUGAAGGCCUUAGGGUUGUAAAGCUCUUUUGUCCGGGACGAUAAUGACGGUACCGGAAGAAUAAGCCCCGGCUAACUUCGUGCCAGCAGCCGCGGUAAUACGAAGGGGGCUAGCGUUGCUCGGAAUCACUGGGCGUAAAGGGCGCGUAGGCGGCCAUUCAAGUCGGGGGUGAAAGCCUGUGGCUCAACCACAGAAUUGCCUUCGAUACUGUUUGGCUUGAGUAUGGUAGAGGUCGGUGGAACUGCGAGUGUAGAGGUGAAAUUCGUAGAUAUUCGCAAGAACACCAGUGGCGAAGGCGGCCGACUGGACCAUUACUGACGCUGAGGCGCGAAAGCGUGGGGAGCAAACAGGAUUAGAUACCCUGGUAGU